Molecule: small nucleolar RNA, 107 nt
Organism: Hibiscus syriacus
Lineage: Eukaryota; Viridiplantae; Streptophyta; Magnoliopsida; Malvales; Malvaceae
Source: RefSeq, a predicted model, not a curated record
AAAUCAUGCAUUGAACAUUUACGUGGCAAAUCCUUAAAAUGUUCUCAUACUUUGUAUAAGUUAUCAUCUUCCAAAUGCUUAAAGGAUUUUAAAUCAUUUCUGAUCUU